CUACGGGGCGCUGCAGUGGGGAAUAUUGCACAAUGGAGGAAACUCUGAUGCGGCAACGCCGCGUGGAGGAUGACACUUUUCGGAGCGUAAACUCCUUUUAUAUAGGAAGAAGAUGACGGUACUAUAUGAAUAAGCGCCGGCUAACUCCGUGCCAGCAGCCGCGGUAAUAAGGAGGGCGCAAGCGUUACUCGGAAUCACUGGGCGUAAAGAGCGUGUAGGCGGAUUAAAAAGUCAGAAGUGAAAUCCUAUAGCUUAACUAUAGAACUGCUUCUGAAACUCUUAAUCUAGAAUAUGGGAGAGGUAGAUGGAAUUUCUGGUGUAGGGGUAAAAUCCGUAGAGAUCAGAAGGAAUACCGAUUGCGAAGGCGAUCUACUAGAACAUUAUUGACGCUGAGACGCGAAAGCGUGGGGAGCAAACAGGAUUAGAUACCCCGGUAGUC
Molecule: ribosomal RNA, 439 nt
Filed under: uncultured bacterium
Lineage: Bacteria
Description: partial 16S ribosomal RNA
Rfam family: Bacterial small subunit ribosomal RNA
Source: RNAcentral